UUUAAUUAGCAAGUUGAAUAUUACAAAUUACAUAUUUAGUUAGCAAGCUUAACAUUUAAUUUCCCUUUGGAAUUAAUAAAGUAUUUUUGAAUUGAAUUGAACUGAAUUUAAGUUUCUUUGUUUGGGAAAGGGGUUAUUUUAACGUCACAACCUAAAGGAUCCACUAGGGGGACUCGCAUGUUUUUUUUCUGCACUCAAUACACAUGAGUGAAAGGAGAAGCACUGAUACGGUCUCCUGUGAUCAUUGUCUUGCACUUUUUCCCUUCUUUUAAGGUCCUCUCCAUUAAACCUGAAGUCAUUCCUCACUCCAUGCGUAGUUGUUUCUGCUGGGACUUCCAGACCUUUGAGAGGCCUGUCUGUACUUUUGGAUCAAGGAAGAGUUUCGUCGUAUAAAAACUAUUUCGCUGGAAGAGACAUUUAUGCGAAAACUUGAACUUGAAGGAUCGAGGAUGUGCCCUCUCCUGGACACAAUAAAUCAGUCACAGAGUGUGGAGAAAAAAAAGGGAUGUCGUCAUCUGUUGUCUUAUUGAGUACCUUGGGGAAAAACAAGAAGAGCUCUUCCAAGACUGCCAGGACCACACAGACCAAACCAUGAAGGUACUUGUGAUUCAUAAUCCUUUGGCAGAGGAGGAUCCAGCUGAAGUGUCUGUGGUGAUUGAGGGAAACAGGGUGCUGAAUGGGUUUGGUAACCGAACCAAAGCCUGUAUGCUGUUGAUGGGUCUGAUCUACGGUCUCAACCUCGAGUAUCCCAAGAUGCUCAAGAACACGUUUGCUGUAUUCCAGAAAAUCUUUCUGGAGCUUGAUGGAGCAAAGCUGCCCAGGAAGGUCCAUAGCCUCAAAGGCAAACUGGAAUGUACUUAAUUUCUUAUGGUUGUUUCAUCAUGCCACAAGAAAGACCAUUUGACUUAAUUAUAGAAACUUGUUUCAGGUUUUUAUAUUUAGAAAAUAUGUCUUUGUUCUGUUCAUUUGGUUUCCUGGUUCCCAGUGAUGUUCAUGGCAAUGCCAUCUGCAAAAAUCCUCUCCCUGGUACAGACAAAAAAGAGUGGAUACUUAAAAGUGACCAGUUAAAACUGAUUACAGUGUUUCAUGGUCCUCUAAACAGAAAAUGUUAAGCUACUGAUUGAUUAAGUAUUAGGGUCUCCUUUUUGGGUAAAAACUGUCUGAUUGAGGUUCUUUGACUGAAAGUUUGAUGUUUUACAGAUUAUUGGAAUUUUUCAAUUUUGGAAAAAAAAAUCAACAUUUUCUUUUUUAUUUUCACUGUAUAAAAAAAGUCAGCAGUAUGAAUAUUGCAUCCUUCCACUACCAUCUUGAUUUUUGAUUCACAUUAGCCCAUUUGGGUAUAAGCAAUGUUAAUUACUGGUGAAAAGAUGAGGAAUGUAUCUUAACCAAUGUUUUGUGAAAUGAAAUGUAGCACAGUUCUGAG
Girardinichthys multiradiatus is the source of this 1423-nucleotide long non-coding RNA. RefSeq lists it as uncharacterized. The transcript has 5 exons. Lineage: Eukaryota; Metazoa; Chordata; Actinopteri; Cyprinodontiformes; Goodeidae. The record is from RefSeq and is a predicted model, not a curated record.